RNAcentral lists this ribosomal RNA (833 nucleotides) under uncultured bacterium. RNAcentral describes it as "bacterial SSU rRNA". It matches the Rfam family "Bacterial small subunit ribosomal RNA", at positions 97 to 946 of the family's 1533-position model. The record is from RNAcentral.
GGCAAACGGCUGAGUAACGCGUAAGGGACCUGACCCCGGGAGGGGGAUAACCCAUCGAAAGGUGGGCUAAUACCCCGUACGCUCUCCUGCCGCAUGGCAGGUGAGGAUAGCCUUCGGACGCCCGGGGAGGGUCUUGCGUCCUAUCAGGUUGUUGGCGGGGUAACGGCCCACCAAGCCUAAGACGGGUAACCGGUGUGAGAGCAUGAACGGUCAGAGGGGGACUGAGACACGGCCCCCACUCCUACGGGAGGCAGCAGCAGGGAAUUUUGCGCAAUGGGCUAACGCCUGACGCAGCGACGCCGCGUGGGGGAAGAAGGCCUUCGGGUUGUAAAUCCCUUUUCUGGGGGAAGAGUAAGGACGGUACCCCAGGAAUAAGCCCCGGCUAACUACGUGCCAGCAGCCGCGGUAAUACGUAGGGGGCGAGCGUUGUCCGGAGUUACUGGGCGUAAAGGGCGCGUAGGCGGCCCAGGAAGUCCUCGGUGAAAUCUCCCGGCUCAACCGGGAGCCGCCCGGGGAUACUCCUGGACUUGAGGACAGCAGAGGAGGGUGGAAUUCCCGGUGUAGUGGUGAAAUGCGUAGAUAUCGGGAGGAACACCAGUGGCGAGGGCGGCCCUCUGGGCUGUACCUGACGCUGAGGCGCGAAAGCGUGGGGAGCGAACCGGAUUAGAUACCCGGGUAGUCCACGCCCUAAACUAUGGAUGCUGGGUAUGAGGGGUAUCGAACCCCCUCGUGCCGAAGCUAACGCGUUAAGCAUCCCGCCUGGGGAAUACGGCCGCAAGGCUAAAACUCAAAGGAAUUGACGGGGGCCCGCACAAGCAGCGGAGCGUGUGGUU